RNAcentral lists this long non-coding RNA (225 nucleotides) under Mytilus galloprovincialis (Mediterranean mussel). The record is from RNAcentral. Lineage: Eukaryota; Metazoa; Mollusca; Bivalvia; Mytilida; Mytilidae.
UUUAUCUUCCAUGGUUCCUGAUAUAUCCGCGCAUGAUUUAACACCAAGGGUAGUGGUACAAAGUUUCCAUUAUCCAGCGCUGACUUCAACCACCGCAGCAUCAACCGUGACAUAGUUUAGUGUGGCAAAUCCAAUAAGAUCAAAGAGAAAUGCUACUAGGAUCAGUAUAAAGCUGAUCAACAAAAUCUUAGAUAUUUCUAUAGCCAUCUUUAUCCGAAAAAACAA